AUGCAACACACAUACAUGCACGUGUGUAUACACACAAAGACACACAUGUACAUAUACACACCCACACACAUACACACACUCAUGCACACACAUACACAUAUAUACACAUAUGCCCACAGAUGCACACACACUCAUACAUAUAUACACAUAUACUCACAGAUGCACACACACACACUCAUACAUAUAAAUACAUAUAUACCACAGAUGCACACACACACACACACACUCAUAGAUAUAUACACACAUAUACCCAUAGAUGCACACACACACUCAUAUAUAUAUACACAUAUACCCACAGAUGUACACACACACUCAUAUAUAUAUAUAUAUAUAUAUAUACAUAAGCCCACAGAUGCACACACACACACACUCAUAUAUAUACACAUAUGCCCACAGGUGCACAUACACACAUUCAUACAUGUAUAUACACAUAUACCCACAUAUGCGCACACACAUGCACUCAUACAUAUAUAUACACAUAUACCCACAGAUGCACACACACACUCAUACAUGUAUAUACACAUAUACCCACAGAUGUACACACACACAUUCAUACAUGUAUAUACACACAUACCCACAGAUGCACACACACACACUCAUACAUGUAUAUACACAUAUACCCACAGAUGCACACACACACUCAUACAUGUAUAUACACAUAUACCCACAGAUGUACACACACACAUUCAUACAUGUAUAUACACACAUACCCACAGAUGCACACACACACUCAUACAUGUAUAUACACAUAUACCCACAGGUGCACACACACGCACACUCAUACAUAUAUACACAUAUACCCACAGAUGCACACACACAUUCAUACAUGUAUAUACACAUAUACCCACAGGUGCACACACACGCACACUCAUACAUGUAUAUACACAUAUACCCACAGAUGCACACACACACUCAUACAUAUAUAUACACACAUACCCACAGAUGCACACACACACACUCAUACAUGUAUAUACACAUAUACCCACAGGUGCACACACACGCACACUCAUACAUAUAUAUAUACACAUAUACCCACAGGUGCACACACACACAUAA
RNAcentral lists this long non-coding RNA (1056 nucleotides) under Oryctolagus cuniculus (rabbit). Its description in RNAcentral is "lncRNA (ENSOCUG00000035076.1)". Lineage: Eukaryota; Metazoa; Chordata; Mammalia; Lagomorpha; Leporidae. The record is from RNAcentral.